UUUGUUUUUUAAUUAAAAACUAGAAUGAAAGGUUAUACAUUCAAAUUUCUUUAUUAAUUUUUAAUAAAUAAUUUAUAUUAAAUAUAAAAAUAUAUUUAUAAAAAAAAAAGACGACAAGACCCUAUUAAAUUUUACUUAUAGUUUAGCUGGGGAAGCUUUUCAAUUAAAAUUUUUUAAUUUAAAUAAAUAAAAAUCUAAUAAAAUUAAAAUUUUAAUAAAUUACUAUAGGGAUAACAGCAUUAUAUUUUUUAAAAGUUCAUAUUAAAAAAAAUGAUUGUGACCUCGAUGUUGAAUUAUAUUUUCUAUAUUAAAUGCAAUAAUUAUAAAAGUAGAUCUGUUCGAUCUUUAAAAUAUUACAUGAUUUGAGUUCAAACCGGUGUAAACCAGGUUGGUUUCUAUCUUUUUAUACAUUUUUCUAGUACGAAAGGACAAAAAAAUUUUUAUUUUAAUAAAUUAGCAAAUAAAUGCAUUAGAUUUAGAAUCUAAAUACAAUUAAUAAUU
Molecule: unclassified non-coding RNA, 501 nt
Filed under: Anelosimus baeza
Lineage: Eukaryota; Metazoa; Arthropoda; Arachnida; Araneae; Theridiidae
Description: partial contains 16S ribosomal RNA and tRNA-Leu (trnL)
Rfam family: Bacterial large subunit ribosomal RNA (bases 105-404)
Source: RNAcentral